Molecule: long non-coding RNA, 597 nt
Organism: Aethalodelphis obliquidens (Pacific white-sided dolphin)
Lineage: Eukaryota; Metazoa; Chordata; Mammalia; Artiodactyla; Delphinidae
Exons: 3
Source: RefSeq, a predicted model, not a curated record
UUCAGAUCCAUGUUGCGUCACACCUGUUUGCUCCCUGCCUCGUCUCUAAGUGACUGUAAAAUGCUCUCCUAAUCUAGUUCCCGUCUUGGACCCUGAGCUUUGUCUCCUGGGCUUCAUGCACUUAUUUAUUCUCCAUUAAAAGUAUAAAUCUGAAGGCUUUCCCAGGCUAGUGUCUUGGUGAGACUCAGACUCAUUUUGUGAACCUGCAUUAGAAAAGCAAACUCCAAAUCCCUCCUGACAGGGGUGGGGCCUAUCUAACCAGGGUGUUGCUGCUCGAGAUGUGACAUCAGACAGAAAAACAGGCUCAUAUCAGAGCUAACACUUAAAGAAAACACCAGCCGUCUCAGAGCUGUGACUAUUUUCAAGGCUACUGUUUUUCUCUGUGGAACACUGCCUUUGGGACAAAACAAGGAAGAAGCAGCUUCCUAAGUGACAAGAGCCAUGUAGUAGGUGCUCUGGGGGCCCCGGACCGCCUGUGACUCCAGCAACUGCCCUGGAGGACUUUCCUGGGCACUGGGAAACCUUUCUCACCUGGCAGGUGCCCUGAAGUGGCGGUGAGCUGAUACACGGUAAGCUUCACCCGGGGGAGGGCGUCAC